GGAGUUUGGACCGUGUCUCAGUUCCAAUGUGGGGGACCUUCCUCUCAGAACCCCUACUGAUCGUAGCCUUGGUGGGCCGUUACCCCGCCAACAAGCUAAUCAGACGCAUCCCCAUCCUUAACCGACAAAAUCUUUGGUCCGGGUCAGAUGCCCUCGCUGGACCACAUCGGGCAUUAAUCCGGUUUUCACCGGGCUAUUCCCAAGUUAAGGGAAGGUUGGAUACGCGUUACUCACCCGUUUGCCACUAGGCUUUAAAAAGCAAGCUUUCUAUCGCCCCGUUCGACUUGCAUGUGUUAAGCACGCCGCCAGCGUUCGUCCUCGAGCCAGGAUCAAACUACU
RNAcentral lists this ribosomal RNA (339 nucleotides) under uncultured Prevotella sp. RNAcentral describes it as "partial 16S ribosomal RNA". Lineage: Bacteria; Pseudomonadati; Bacteroidota; Bacteroidia; Bacteroidales; Prevotellaceae. The record is from RNAcentral.